UACGUAGGGUGCGAGCGUUAAUCGGAAUUACUGGGCGUAAAGCGUGCGCAGGCGGUUUUCUAAGACCGAUGUGAAAUCCCCGGGCUCAACCUGGGAACUGCAUUGGUGACUGGCAGGCUAGAGUAUGGCAGAGGGGGGUAGAAUUCCACGUGUAGCAGUGAAAUGCGUAGAGAUGUGGAGGAAUACCGAUGGCGAAGGCAGCCCCCUGGGCCAAUACUGACGCUCAUGCACGAAAGCGUGGGGAGCAAACAGG
This 253-nucleotide ribosomal RNA is filed under the name uncultured bacterium. Its description in RNAcentral is "partial 16S ribosomal RNA". It matches the Rfam family "Bacterial small subunit ribosomal RNA", at positions 524 to 776 of the family's 1533-position model. The record is from RNAcentral.